This is a non-coding RNA of Cajanus cajan (pigeon pea), 1639 nucleotides long. The record is from RefSeq and is a predicted model, not a curated record. Lineage: Eukaryota; Viridiplantae; Streptophyta; Magnoliopsida; Fabales; Fabaceae.
UAUUUGAUAUUGUUAUCUUGAUUAAACAUUAAUUAGCAAAAACCCAUUGACAGAAGCAACACUACAAUGACAAAGUGCAAACCCUUUCGUCCGCCAGGUGUCACUUAAAGACUCAACUUAUAGGUUUAGUGUGGGAUUUGGAUGUUCAUUUGGGUCUGGUGCUGGUCUUCAGUUGGUGUUGGCUUAUAUUUCAUCCUAAUUGGCAAGGUAUCUCUAUGCCUAGGCAACUGAAGAGGAGAAUAAAAGCAAGCUAACUAUGAGCUCAUUUCUUGUGGAUGAGUUGCUUUCGAUUCCUCUGUGUUUGUGUCUAAAAACAAUGAAUUGACAAGCUGAACUCACUUCACCUUCGAGAAACUCAUUCCCACUGAAAAGCAUGCAGCAAAGAAGCGUGCAGAAGACCAAAGGGAAAUCACAAAACAGAAGUGCGUAAAAUCCAUUCCCCAGUUUUGCAUAAUCAAAAAGGUAUGAGGCUUGUUGAUUCCUUGUAGAUGGUCAGUUCAGGUUUGACAAUGGAAGAGAUAGUGAAAAAAUUUCAGUCAAAAUUCAGAAAAGUUAGGGAAGAAAUGAACAAAUGGAAUGAGCUUCAAUCCUGCUUAAUUUCACAGUUUAGGAAUGCUUCCCAUAUUGUUGAAAGGUUGCAGGUGCUUCAAAAUUCAAACAAUUAUGGAGUUCUAAAUUGUGUCAGUGGCACCAGAGAUGCUCUUUUGGAAAAGCAGUUUGAAUCUUUCAGGAACAUUUUGGUUUCCAUGAGAAAGACUUUGGAAGAAUUUCAUUGUAUUGUCUUAUCUCUUGACAAAAUUCACCAUGAUAGUAGACAACUAGUGAAAGGCAGUUAUUCUCACCUGACCAUGAAACAACUGCAGCAGCAAGUUGGCAUCAAACCUACUCUUAUUUAUUGCUUGGAUAGCCUGAUCUUUAUACAUGAGAUUUACAACUCUGAAACUUGGAAGAUUGACAGGAAGUCUAAUGAUCAAGUGUGAAGGGUUGCAUGUCAAUGUGUUCUACUCUGCCCCACCUUGUCCCCUAAACCAAAUAUUUUACCAGUCUUUUAGCGUUGGAGAAUUGGAGAUUUUAUGAUGAGGAUAAAAUUCUAUAAUGGAGUUAUCAAUACCCAAUACGGGUGUCAUUCUCAAGUUCUGAGAAACACGUCACUGAAUGCAAUUACUCUGCUUCCUUCACUUAAAGUUUGUUAUGCAUCCAUAUCUGGUAUUUGUUAAAAUCAUCAUUGAUCUCAGCACUAUCAGAAAUGGCCUUAAACCCCAGUGGCAGUGAUCUUGGUGCACUUCAGCAACUCUUGGUUGAUCAACCCAAUCUCCAUACUGAGGAAGUUCAACUUGUAUUUGAUAAGAUAUUUGUUGAAGAAUCGUGUUGAUGAUCCUCUAUCACGGAUAUUGACUUGGGACCGGGAAUGCUUGCCCUUUUAUGCAUAAGGGAGCCUUCAGCCUUUUGAUUCUAAAUGAAUUAAGAUAAUUUUUUGUUACUCUUAUUUAAGGAUUUUACUUUUUUUUUUAGAAAUAUUUUGUUUGUUAAAUGAUUGUGUUUUAGAAAUAUAUUGUCAUAUUAGGAUUUUCAAUUUGAUUUGAAUUGAAUUGAUUACGAUAUGUUUUAGAAAACUAAUAUACGUGUUGGAUUUGGGUUA